RNAcentral lists this long non-coding RNA (468 nucleotides) under Haliotis rubra (blacklip abalone). RNAcentral describes it as "uncharacterized LOC124266155, transcript variant X1". The record is from RNAcentral. Lineage: Eukaryota; Metazoa; Mollusca; Gastropoda; Lepetellida; Haliotidae.
UAAGGUUACAACAGCAUUGGGUUUCAUUCUAGGAUACUACUGUAUCAGGUCCAUAUUUACAUCAAGAAAAGCUCAGGAUACAGUGUAUUUGAAAGAUACUAGUGUAUCAAGUCCAUAUUUACAUCAAAGACAACUCAGUAUAUGGUCUAUUUGAGUGAUACUGGUUAUCAGGUCCACAUUUACACCAAGGAAAACUAAGGAUACAGUAAGUUUGAAAGAUACUGGUGUAUCAAGCCCAUAUUUACAUACCGGUAAUCAUCUUUCUUUUCAGGUUACACCAACAUUGUGUUUAUUUCUAAUGUACUGGUGUAUUAGGUCCAUAUUCACAUCAAUGAAAACUCAGGAUACAGUCUAAUUGAGUGAUACUAGUGUAUCACGUCCACAUUUACAUCAUAAUCCAUAUAUAUUAGGUUACAACAUUGGGUUUAUUUCUAAGAAACUAGUGUAUCAAGUCCAUAUUUAUAUCAA